This 420-nucleotide ribosomal RNA is filed under the name uncultured bacterium. RNAcentral's name for it is "bacterial SSU rRNA". It matches the Rfam family "Bacterial small subunit ribosomal RNA", at positions 355 to 774 of the family's 1533-position model. The record is from RNAcentral.
UAAGGAAUAUUGCUCAAUGGGAGAAAUCCUGAAGCAGCAACGCCGCGUGGAGGAUGAAGGGUCUAUGACUUGUAAACUCCUGUAAAGAAGGAAAAAAUUCCCAUUUGAUGGGAGAUGAUGGUACUUCUGGAGUAAGCCCCGGCUAACUACGUGCCAGCAGCCGCGGUAAUACGUAGGGGGCAAGCGUUGUCCGGAUUUACUGGGUGUAAAGGGUGCUCAGGCGGAUUUGUAAGUCAGAGGUGAAAUCUUACAGCUUAACUGUGAAACUGCCUUUGAUACUGCAAGCCUAGAGUAUGGAAGAGAGUGAUGGAAUAUCUGGUGUAGCAGUGAAAUGCGUAGAUAUCAGAUAGAACACCAAUGGCGAAGGCAGUCACUUGGUCCAGUACUGACGCUAAAGCACGAAAGCGUGGGUAGCAAACA